This 395-nucleotide unclassified non-coding RNA is filed under the name soil metagenome. RNAcentral describes it as "partial contains 5.8S ribosomal RNA, internal transcribed spacer 2, and large subunit ribosomal RNA". The stretch from base 1 to 122 matches the Rfam family "5.8S ribosomal RNA", at positions 35 to 154 of the family's 154-position model. The record is from RNAcentral.
GAUGAAGAACGCAGCGAAAUGCGAUACUUGGUGUGAAUUGCAGAAUCCCGUGAACCAUCGAGUCUUUGAACGCAAGUUGCGCCCGAAGCCAUCAGGUUGAGGGCACGUCUGCCUGGGCGUCACAUAUCGUUGCCCAAUGCCUAUUGCAGUGCAAUAGGAAUUUCUAGGGCGAAUGAUGGCUUCCCGUGAGCGUUGUUGCCUCGCGGGUGGUUGAAAAUCGAGUCCUUGGUAGGGUGUGCCAUGGUAGAUGGUGGUCGAGUUAGAACGAUACCGAUCAUGUGCAUGCUCCCCAAAAUAUGGCCUCUAUGACCCACACGCGUCUUUUGACGCUCAUGACGAGACCUCAGGUCAGGCGGGGCUACCCGCUGAAUUUAAGCAUAUCAAUAAGCGGAGGA